This 719-nucleotide long non-coding RNA is filed under the name Naja naja (Indian cobra). Its description in RNAcentral is "lncRNA (ENSNNAG00000009642.1)". The record is from RNAcentral. Lineage: Eukaryota; Metazoa; Chordata; Lepidosauria; Squamata; Elapidae.
GCGGAAACGGCGCGGUCUUGCGCGCCGGCGGAGGGGGCGGCGGCGCUGCCGUCUCAGCUUGCCGUUGACUGCGAGGGUUGCAGCCGGACGAGAGAGCCGCCUUCACGAGUGGAUGACGGGACGCCCUCCUGACAGGCCGGACCAAGGCGGUGAAGGUAGCCAAUGGCCUCCUAAGAAACAGAAGACCUCUUUGAAAUCUUGCAGUCACAACAAAAAGUUCUGGAAAAAAUGUACAGUAUUGCAGUUAAUUAAUUCCACUGAAACCAUUUUGGAAUGCCUUUAUCUGACAUCACUGACAGUCAAAUAUAAUCAUCAUAAUAAAAAAGAUCAGAUUCUCAAACACUCUGAAGAAGGAAUAUAAAGGAUGCCAUCCAUCACAAGAAAUUCAGAUCAGGCCUGUCAAACUGCUUCAUGUGCAGGCCACGCCCACCCUGGCUCCACAAAGACAAAAAAGUCACGAUACGUCACGUGAUGCAAUCAAAUUUGACAUCCAUGAUCUAGAUCAUUUGUGAAGAUGCUGAAAAUUAUUGGACCCAGGACUGAAGCUGAGGUACUUCACUGUAUACCUUCCCCAAUGUAACAUAGAUCCUGUCCCACCAAGUUGCAAUUAUACCUACAAAAUCACAUAUGCCAUCCUAUCUAUACUAGGAUUAAGUUCUUCCUAUGUUUUGCCCAUAUUCUGUGCAUUGUAUAAGCACUUGAGUCUUUUAAUGUUGUCC